GAUGAACGCUAGCUACAGGCUUAACACAUGCAAGUCGAGGGGAAACGGCAUUGAGUGCUUGCACUCUUUGGACGUCGACCGGCGCACGGGUGAGUAACGCGUAUCCAACCUUCCCAUUACUGUGGGAUAACCUGCCGAAAGGCAGACUAAUACCGCAUAGUCUUCGAUGACGGCAUCAGAUUUGAAGUAAAGAUUUAUCGGUAAUGGAUGGGGAUGCGUCUGAUUAGCUUGUUGGCGGGGUAACGGCCCACCAAGGCUACGAUCAGUAGGGGUUCUGAGAGGAAGGUCCCCCACAUUGGAACUGAGACACGGUCCAAACUCCUACGGGAGGCAGCAGUGAGGAAUAUUGGUCAAUGGACGGCAGUCUGAACCAGCCAAGUAGCGUGCAGGAUGACGGCACUAUGGGUUGUAAACUGCUUUUGUAUGGGGAUAAAGUUAGGGACGUGUCCCUAUUUGCAGGUACCAUACGAAUAAGGACCGGCUAAGUCCGUG
RNAcentral lists this ribosomal RNA (492 nucleotides) under uncultured bacterium. RNAcentral's name for it is "partial 16S ribosomal RNA". It matches the Rfam family "Bacterial small subunit ribosomal RNA", at positions 28 to 507 of the family's 1533-position model. The record is from RNAcentral.